GACGAACGCUGGCGGCGUGCUUAACACAUGCAAGUCGAACGAUGAAGCUAGAGCUUGCUCUGGUGGAUUAGUGGCGAACGGGUGAGUAACACGUGAGUAACCUGCCCCGAACUCUGGGAUAACUGCUGGAAACGGUAGCUAAUACCGGAUAUGACCAAUGAAGGCAUCUUCUGUUGGUGGAAAGAAUUUCGGUUCGGGAUGGACUCGCGGCCUAUCAGCUUGUUGGUGAGGUAACGGCUCACCAAGGCGACGACGGGUAGCCGGCCUGAGAGGGGGAUCGGCGACACUGGGACUGAGACACGGCCCAGACUCCUACGGGAGGCAGCAGUGGGGAAUAUUGCACAAUGGGCGCAAGCCUGAUGCAGCAACGCCGCAUGAGGGACGACGGCCUUCGGGUUGUAAACCUCUUUUAGUAGGGAAGAAGCGAAAGUGACGGUACCUGCAGAAAAAGCACCGGCUAACUACGUGCCAGCCGCCGCAGUAA
This 484-nucleotide ribosomal RNA is filed under the name uncultured bacterium. RNAcentral's name for it is "partial 16S ribosomal RNA". It matches the Rfam family "Bacterial small subunit ribosomal RNA", at positions 28 to 523 of the family's 1533-position model. The record is from RNAcentral.